UACGGAGGGUGCAAGCGUUACUCGGAAUCACUGGGCGUAAAGAGCGCGUAGGCGGGAUAGCAAGUCAGAUGUGAAAUCCUAUGGCUUAACCAUAGAACUGCAUUUGAAACUGUUAUUCUAGAGUAUGGGAGAGGUAGGUGGAAUUCUUGGUGUAGCGGUGAAAUGCGUAGAUAUCAGGAGGAACACCGGUGGCGAAGGCGGCCUGCUGGACUGUAACUGACACUGAGGCUCGAAAGCGUGGGGAGCAAACAGG
This 253-nucleotide ribosomal RNA is filed under the name uncultured Helicobacteraceae bacterium. Its description in RNAcentral is "partial 16S ribosomal RNA". It matches the Rfam family "Bacterial small subunit ribosomal RNA", at positions 524 to 776 of the family's 1533-position model. Lineage: Bacteria; Pseudomonadati; Campylobacterota; Epsilonproteobacteria; Campylobacterales; Helicobacteraceae. The record is from RNAcentral.